CAAUAGCGUAUAUUAAAGUUGUUGCAGUUAAAAAGCUCGUAGUUGAAUUUUGGGCCCGGAUGGGCGGUCCGCUUCACGGCGUGUACUGUCCGGCUGGGCCUUUCCUCUUGGUGAUCUGUCGUACUUGUGCGGCAGUGGAACCAGGACCUUUACUUUGAGGAAAUUAGAGUGUUCAAAGCAGGCUAGACGCCCGAAUAUAUUAGCAUGGAAUAAUAAAAUAGGACGUGCGGUUCUACUUUGUUGGUUUUUGGAAUCGCCGUAAUGAUUAAUAGGGACGGUCGGGGGCAUUAGUACUCACAUGCUAGAGGUGAAAUUCUUGGAUUUUGUGAAGACUAACUUCUGCGAAAGCAUUUGCCAAGGACGUUUUCAUUAA
RNAcentral lists this ribosomal RNA (373 nucleotides) under uncultured eukaryote. Its description in RNAcentral is "partial 18S ribosomal RNA". It matches the Rfam family "Eukaryotic small subunit ribosomal RNA", at positions 592 to 976 of the family's 1831-position model. The record is from RNAcentral.